GCUUACGGCCACACCACCCUGAGCACGCCUGAUCUCGUCCGAUCUCGGAAGCUAAGCAGGGUCGGGCCUGGUUAGUACUUGGAUGGGAGACCGCCUGGGAAUACCAGGUGCUGUAAGCU
RNAcentral lists this ribosomal RNA (119 nucleotides) under Myripristis murdjan (pinecone soldierfish). Lineage: Eukaryota; Metazoa; Chordata; Actinopteri; Holocentriformes; Holocentridae. The record is from RNAcentral.